UACAGAGGGUGCAAGCAUUAAUCGGAUUUAUUGGGCGUAAGGGCGCGUAGGCGGACCUGUAAGUCAGAUGUGAAAUCCCGGGGCUCAACCCCGGAACAGCAUUUGAAACUACAGGACUAGAGGGUAGGCGGAGAAAAUGGAAUUCCACAUGUAGCGGUGAAAUGCGUAGAUAUGUGGAAGAACACCGGUGGCGAAGGCGAUUUUCUAGCUUAUACCUGACGCUGAGGCGCGAAAGCAAGAGGAUCAAACAGG
This 252-nucleotide ribosomal RNA is filed under the name uncultured bacterium. RNAcentral describes it as "partial 16S ribosomal RNA". It matches the Rfam family "Bacterial small subunit ribosomal RNA", at positions 524 to 776 of the family's 1533-position model. The record is from RNAcentral.